This 504-nucleotide ribosomal RNA is filed under the name uncultured bacterium. Its description in RNAcentral is "partial 16S ribosomal RNA". It matches the Rfam family "Bacterial small subunit ribosomal RNA", at positions 30 to 523 of the family's 1533-position model. The record is from RNAcentral.
AUUGAACGCUGGCGGCAGGCCUAACACAUGCAAGUCGAACGGUAGCACAGAGAGCUUGCUCUCGGGUGACGAGUGGCGGACGGGUGAGUAACGUCUGGGAAACUGCCCGAUGGAGGGGGAUAACUACUGGAAACGGUAGCUAAUACCGCAUAACGUCGCAAGACCAAAGUGGGGGACCUUCGGGCCUCACACCAUCGGAUGUGCCCAGAUGGGAUUAGCUAGUAGGUUGGGUAAUGGCUCACCUAGGCGACGAUCCCUAGCUGGUCUGAGAGGAUGACCAGCCACACUGGAACUGAGACACGGUCCAGACUCCUACGGGAGGCAGCAGUGGAGAAUAUUGCACAAUGGGCGCAAGCCUGAUGCAGCCAUGCCGCGUGUAUGAAGAAGGCCUUCGGGUUGUAAAGUACUUUCAGCGGGGAGGAAGGCGGUGAAGUUAAUAACUUCACCGAUUGACGUUACCCGCAGAAGAAGCACCGGCUAACUCCGUGCCAGCCGCCGCAGUAA